RNAcentral lists this ribosomal RNA (492 nucleotides) under uncultured bacterium. Its description in RNAcentral is "partial 16S ribosomal RNA". It matches the Rfam family "Bacterial small subunit ribosomal RNA", at positions 29 to 507 of the family's 1533-position model. The record is from RNAcentral.
AGUGAACGCUGGCGGUAGGCCUAACACAUGCAAGUCGAACGGCAGCACAGUAAGAGCUUGCUCUUACGGGUGGCGAGUGGCGGACGGGUGAGGAAUACAUCGGAAUCUACUUUUUCGUGGGGGAUAACGUAGGGAAACUUACGCUAAUACCGCAUACGACCUACGGGUGAAAGCAGGGGAUCUUCGGACCCUGCGCGAUUGAAUGAGCCGAUGUCGGAUUAGCUAGUUGGCGGGGUAAAGGCCCACCAAGGCGACGAUCCGUAGCUGGUCUGAGAGGAUGAUCAGCCACACUGGAACUGAGACACGGUCCAGACUCCUACGGGAGGCAGCAGUGGGGAAUAUUGGACAAUGGGCGCAAGCCUGAUCCAGCCAUACCGCGUGGGUGAAGAAGGCCUUCGGGUUGUAAAGCCCUUUUGUUGGGAAAGAAAGGCAGCAGGUUAAUACCCCGCUGUUCUGACGGUACCCAAAGAAUAAGCACCGGCUAACUUCGUG